This 413-nucleotide ribosomal RNA is filed under the name uncultured bacterium. RNAcentral's name for it is "bacterial SSU rRNA". It matches the Rfam family "Bacterial small subunit ribosomal RNA", at positions 505 to 916 of the family's 1533-position model. The record is from RNAcentral.
GUGUCAGCCGCCGCGGUAAUACGGAGGGUGCGAGCGUUAAUCGGAAUUACUGGGCGUAAAGGGCGCGUAGGCGGUCGCGCGAGUCGGGUGUGAAAGCCCCGGGCUCAACCUGGGAAUUGCAUUCGAUACUGCGUAACUAGAGUCUGGUAGAGGGAAGCGGAAUUCCGCAUGUAGCGGUGAAAUGCGUAGAUAUGCGGAGGAACACCAGUGGCGAAGGCGGCUUCCUGGACCAAGACUGACGCUGAGGCGCGAAAGCGUGGGGAGCAAACAGGAUUAGAUACCCUGGUAGUCCACGCCCUAAACGAUGAGGACUAGACGUUGGGGGGAUAAAACCCUUUAGUGUCGCAGCUAACGCGUGAAGUCCUCCGCCUGGGGAGUACGGCCGCAAGGUUGAAACUCAAAGAAAUUGACGG